Molecule: long non-coding RNA, 573 nt
Organism: Homo sapiens (human)
Lineage: Eukaryota; Metazoa; Chordata; Mammalia; Primates; Hominidae
Exons: 4
Source: RefSeq, a predicted model, not a curated record
CAAAGGCUCAUGAGAAAAAAAAAUCAACGUGGCAACAUCUUAAGAACAGAGAGAGAAGUUUUGGAGGCUAGAAGUAAAGAAGUCAAGGUGUUGUAAGGGGAGUGCUGUCACUAAAACAGGUUAUUUGAUAAUUAUCAAGCACUGUUCCAAGAAUGAGGAUUUCAGUAUUAGGAAUUCAGGAGCAGUUUGGUUUGACAGUUCUGAUUCUAGGAUUUUCAUGAGGUUGGCGUCAGAUCUCAGCUGGAGCUGCAGGCAUCUGAUGGUUUGAAGUUGGAGGAUCCAUCCCCAAGGUACCUCACCAAAAGAUUGUCAAGUUAGUAUUACAAGUUGUUUCCUCUUCAUGUGGCACCCCUCUCAGGCUUAAUUGAGUAUCUUCACAACAUGUCAACUGGCCUCUCUCAUAGCAAUUAAUCCAAGAUACCAAGGCAGAAACUGAAAUAUUUCUGUGAUUUUGUCGACCUGGGAAGUAACAUACCCUCAGUGCUACCAUAAUCUAUCGUUAUAUUAGUCAGGGUUCUCCAGGAAGACAAAACCAAUAGAAGAUAGAUGAUAGAUGGAUAGAUAGAAAUAAAG